Molecule: transfer RNA, 72 nt
Filed under: Candidatus Pacearchaeota archaeon
Lineage: Archaea; Nanobdellati
Description: tRNA-Gly
Rfam family: tRNA
About the family: Transfer RNA (tRNA) molecules are approximately 80 nucleotides in length. Their secondary structure includes four short double-helical elements and three loops (D, anti-codon, and T loops). Further hydrogen bonds mediate the characteristic L-shaped molecular structure. tRNAs have two regions of fundamental functional importance: the anti-codon, which is responsible for specific mRNA codon recognition, and the 3' end, to which the tRNAs corresponding amino acid is attached (by aminoacyl-tRNA synthetases). tRNAs cope with the degeneracy of the genetic code in two manners: having more than one tRNA (with a specific anti-codon) for a particular amino acid; and 'wobble' base-pairing, i.e. permitting non-standard base-pairing at the 3rd anti-codon position.
Source: RNAcentral
GCGUUCGUAGUUUAGCGGUUAGAAUUUCUCGUUGCCAACGAGGAGACCCGGGUUCAACUCCCGGCGGACGCA